RNAcentral lists this long non-coding RNA (1370 nucleotides) under Pan troglodytes (chimpanzee). RNAcentral describes it as "long non-coding RNA NONPTRT007831". The record is from RNAcentral. Lineage: Eukaryota; Metazoa; Chordata; Mammalia; Primates; Hominidae.
AUUCAAUAUUAAGACUUGGAGGGAAUUGGGGAAAGAAAAGAAAGAAUCUAAAAGAAGAGAAGCGACCGGUGCUUUUAAGGGUGCCUAAUUUUCAAAAGAGACGUCUGGGAGUAUUUUGCUCUGGGCGUUUGGAGCAACUUCGCGGACAGCGGAGCUCGCCCAGCAUGGAUGUUCCAGGUAACCACCCCCGACCUGCCCUCCCCUCCGCAUGCAAGCGCCUUCUGCGUGGAUUUUAACCAAGACUCUCCCUGGUCCAGAUCGAGGGGUGGGGGAGGUGGCGAGAGAGAAGAGAAAUCAUGUAGGAUCGGGGCUGCGGACAGCGGAUAUUUAUCAAGAGCCAACUUCUCUGUUCUUAGAAAGAAUAUUGGAAGAGUUAAUGGGAGGCUGUGGGCGGCGAGGGGGCGGCUUCUCUGCGAGUCUCUGGGCUGGUAUUGAAAUGGCCUGUCUGCUUUCCUGGGAGGAGCGGGGACCGGGCAAAAGUGCAGACGGGCGCGUAAGUUCGCAGAAACCUGCAGGGGCUGCCGCCCCGCUGAGAAAGAGAGAAUCCCCGUGGUCUGGAAACCAGAGCUGGAGAAUAAGCCAAGCCUGGGAUUCCGUCGUUGGAAUCGGUCCUUCGCCUAAGAGAGGAAUCCCAGGGGUUUCACCAAGGGGGCUCGCUAGUGGCUGCAGGGACCUUGGAAGUGGGUGUUUGGUUUUACUGCCGGUGUGUGUGUGUAUGUGUGUGUGUGUGUGGUGUCAUUUCCCCCCUAUUAAUCUUAUUCGCCCCAAGGAGAUUCCUGGGAUUUGUUCUGUGGGUGGAAAAUAGAUAAAAUCUGUACCAAAGGGACUUAAAUGGACUUUAAAAACAUCUCGAGGAUUGAAAAAUAGAGGAUAGCAGGGAAACAAGGGAAAGGAAAAGGGUUCCUUGGUGCUGCUCCAAGGAAAUGCUGUGAGAUGAAGACGAGAAGGCAAGCAUUCGUAGGUUUUUCUUUGCCUGCGUCUUAGCCCCCUCCGCGCUGGUGAAUGGGCGGGGUGGCGGUGACGCCUUCUGAGGGUCUCGGGGCCCGUCUUAGCGACGAGGACCUGCAGAAGCGCGGCCCCCUCCCUCGUCGCAGCCCCGCGCGCCGCUCGGGAGCCUUCAGGGAUGCGCUGCCAGCUGCGCCCGGGCGUUUCUCCGGACCUGUUGUGCCAGAUCGGAAAGCGGGUUGGCUGUGCGCGGGACCAAGGGGGUGGCCUUCGGGGAGAACCCCCGAGCCGCAGGCACCUGCUCCCAGUCCCCCUUCUUCCCGGUGGCUCCACCUCCCGGUGUAAGGCUUUGGGUUCUGUGCCCUGACAGGUUCACAGGCGCCUUUCUUCUGAGAACGACCCUGGCCUUGAACGUCAGAGCGGGG